Molecule: ribosomal RNA, 837 nt
Filed under: uncultured archaeon
Lineage: Archaea
Description: bacterial SSU rRNA
Rfam family: Archaeal small subunit ribosomal RNA
Source: RNAcentral
ACUGCUCAGUAACACGUGGAUAACCUGCCCUUGGGUCCGGCAUAACCCCGGGAAACUGGGGAUAAUUCCGGAUAACGCAUAUGUGCUGGAAUGCUUUAUGCGUAAAAUGGAUUCGUCUGCCCAAGGAUGGGUCUGCGGCCUAUCAGGUAGUAGUGGGUGUAAUGUACCUACUAGCCAGCGACGGGUACGGGUUGUGAGAGCAAGAGCCCGGAGAUGGAUUCUGAGACAUGAAUCCAGGCCCUACGGGGCGCAGCAGGCGCGAAAACUUUACAAUGCGGGAAACCGUGAUAAGGGGACACCGAGUGCCAGCAUCAUAUGCUGGCUGUCCGGGUGUGUAAAAUACACCUGUUAGCAAGGGCCGGGCAAGACCGGUGCCAGCCGCCGCGGUAACACCGGCGGCCCGAGUGGUGAUCGUGAUUAUUGGGUCUAAAGGGUCCGUAGCCGGUUUGGUCAGUCCUCCGGGAAAUCUGAUAGCUCAACUAUUAGGCUUUCGGGGGAUACUGCCAGGCUUGGAACCGGGAGAGGUAAGAGGUACUACAGGGGUAGGAGUGAAAUCUUGUAAUCCCUGUGGGACCACCUGUGGCGAAGGCGUCUUACCAGAACGGUUCGACGGUGAGGGACGAAAGCUGGGGGCACGAACCGGAUUAGAUACCCGGGUAGUCCCAGCCGUAAACGAUGCUCGCUAGGUGUCAGGCAUGGCGCGACCGUGUCUGGUGCCGCAGGGAAGCCGUGAACGAGCCACCUGGAAGUACGGCCGCAAGGCUGAAACUUAAAGGAAUUGGCGGGGGAGCACAACAACGGGUGGAGCCUGCGGUUUAAUUGGAUUCAACGCCGGGA